UGUACCACCUCCUGCUCCCACCCUUUUUUCCAAAGGGGCCCCAGGAGUAGCAAGAGAAUGGCCCAGCUGAAGUGUUUGAUCUGAAGGAGGAUGGGGGGACGCCCAGCCUCUGGCCCUCUACAAGAACUAACCACACAGGCUGGCUUUGCCAGCAGGGCCCUGGCCUCCGCUGGGUGUGCCGUAUCACUUGGACAGCAUCUUCUUGAUCUUGCCGGGCAGGGAGACAUCUGACUGUUGUAGCGGGGGCACCUUCACGCCCUUCUGCUUCAGCUGAUUGUAGAAGUCACUUCUCUCCGAGAUGAUCCUCUGGACAAGAAAGUCAAUGGGUGGCCUCUCAGCUCUCUCGCCACCCACCCCAGGACUUGCUACAAACCCAUGUUAAAACAAUGGCUGAGGGUUGGGGAUUUAGCUCAGUGGUAGCGCGCUUGCCUAGUAAGCGCAAGGCCCUGGCUUCGGUCCUCAGCUCCGGAAAAAAAAACAAAAAAACAAAAAAAAAACAAAAAACAAACAAACAAACAAAAACAAUGGCUGAGAGCUUUGCCUCUGUGGUGUGUGUCCCUGCCCCUUAGGUGCCUGCAGACCAGAAAGCUGUCUGAUCUCAUGCCAUCCAGUCCCUCUCCAGCUCUGUCCUCAUUCCUAACAGAGAGAGCUACUGGACCUCAGCUUCUCGAGCUGUGAACAAAGGUGAAAGGCACCCCACGCUGCUACAGAAUGAGGCCUGGCCCUGCCAUGAGGGAGCCCGUGGGCCAGGAAAGGAUUUCUUGCUUCUGCGUGUCAUAGCUGGAAAUGGAGCUCACCUAAGAGCUAGGAUGCUCUGGAUCAGACCCCAGUUCCUUGGGUGGCCCCGCACCAAAGCACAGAAGCUUGAGCGUACCAACAUGCUUCUUACACACACACACACACACACACACACACACGCACGCACGCACACACACACACACACACACACGCACACAUGUGGAAAUGAGGACUUCUCACAUGCUAAUGAGGGACGCUCUCCACCACCAAGAUAUAUUCCCAGUCCUGUGCACGGCUUUAAAAUGUCAUUGCAGCUGCAGAGGUGGCUCCCCUGUGAUUAAGAGCACUUGCAAAGGACAUGAGUUCUGUUCCCAGCACCUGUAUCUUCAGCUCCAGGAGAGCUGAUGCCCUCUUCUGGCUUCUGAAGGGAUAUACAUACAGACUCGCAUACAUACAAAUAAAAAUAUUAAAAAAAAAAUAAGAGUGGCAAACACACAGAAUACAUUUUUUUUCUUUUCUAUUUUUCGGAUCUGGGGACCAAACCCAGGGCCUUGCACUUGCUAGGCAAGCGCUCUACCACUGAGCUAAAUCCCCAAUCCCCACAGAAUACAUUUUUAAACCUCAGUUUCCAGCAGCCGCUGGAAGCCUCAGCCUCUUUUUUUGUUUGUUGGUUUGUUUUGCUUUCAUUUAUUUUAUAUGUAUGGGAGUUUGGCCUGCUUGUUAUGUCUGUGCACCAAAUGCAUGCAACGUUGCUGUUGAUCUAAGGUCUUUUUUUUGUAAGAUUUACCUAUCUUUAUU
Rattus norvegicus (Norway rat) is the source of this 1536-nucleotide long non-coding RNA. RefSeq lists it as uncharacterized. Lineage: Eukaryota; Metazoa; Chordata; Mammalia; Rodentia; Muridae. The record is from RefSeq and is a predicted model, not a curated record.